Molecule: ribosomal RNA, 270 nt
Filed under: Triticum aestivum (bread wheat)
Lineage: Eukaryota; Viridiplantae; Streptophyta; Magnoliopsida; Poales; Poaceae
Description: partial small subunit ribosomal RNA
Source: RNAcentral
CUCACAAACCUACAGGCAAAGUACCAUAGAGAGAGUAGGUUGGCUGACAUAGAGGCCACAAUGGCCUACUUUGAUGAGAAAGCGAAGGAAGAUCCAGAUUUCUUAAAUAGGAUAAGGUUGGACGAUGAGGACCGUGUCAGGAACAUGUAUUGGGUGGAUGGUGCUGCAAGGAGAGCCUACAAACAUUUCCGAGAUUGCAUUUCAUUUGACGCGACGUAUCUCACUAAUAUGUACAAGAUGCCAUUCGCUCCGUUCAUAGAAAAAAAAUAA